GAAAUGCGAUAAGUAAUGUGAAUUGCAGAAUUCAGUGAAUCAUCGAAAAUUUGAACGCAUCUUGCGCUCCUUGGUAUUCUGAGGAGCAUGCCUGUUUGAGUGUCAUUAAUUUAUCAAAAUUACUGUAAUAGUGAUUUUGGAUGAUGGGAGUUACGGGACUUCUCGUAGAGAGAGGAUCAGCUCUCCUGAAAAGAAUUAGCAAAGGUUAAAAAGCCUUUAUUAGUGUGAUAAAUAGAAAUUGAUCACUAAGGGAAAAGGCUUGUCUGGCUUUGUUAUUAUGUAAACUUUAACCGGCUUUUGCUGGAAAAUGAAUGACGAAAUUUGACCUCAAAUCAGGUAGGAUCACCCGCUGAACUUAA
Molecule: ribosomal RNA, 359 nt
Filed under: Amanita pseudoporphyria
Lineage: Eukaryota; Fungi; Basidiomycota; Agaricomycetes; Agaricales; Amanitaceae
Description: eukaryotic LSU rRNA
Rfam family: 5.8S ribosomal RNA (bases 1-105)
Source: RNAcentral